AACGAACGCUGGCGGCAGGCUUAACACAUGCAAGUCGAGCGCCCCGCAAGGGGAGCGGCAGUCGGGUGAGUAACGCGUGGGAACGUACCUUUUGGUUCGGAACAACUCCGGGAAACUGGAGCUAAUCCCGAAUCGGCCUAAACGGGCAAAGAGUUAUCGCCGAAAGAUGGGCCACCGUCGGAUUAGCCGGUUGGUGGGGGAACGGUGCACCAUGGCCAAGUUCAGUAGCUGGUCAGUGAGGAUGGUCAGCCACACUGGGACUGAGACACGGCCCAGACUCCUACGGGAGGCAGCAGUGGGGAAUAUUGGACAAUGGGCGCAAGCCUGAUCCAGCCAUGCCGCGUGAGUGAUGAAGGCCUGAGGGUUGUAAAGCUCUUUUGUCCGGGAAGAGAAUGACUGUACCGGAAGAAUAAGCCCCGGCUAACUACGUG
This 431-nucleotide ribosomal RNA is filed under the name uncultured bacterium. RNAcentral's name for it is "partial 16S ribosomal RNA". It matches the Rfam family "Bacterial small subunit ribosomal RNA", at positions 29 to 507 of the family's 1533-position model. The record is from RNAcentral.